GCCAGGCAUGGUGAUGCAUGCCUGUAGUUCCAGCUACUCAGAAGGCUGAGGCAGGAGGAUUGUUUGAGCCAGGGAGGUCAAGGUUGCAGUGAGGUGUGACCGUGGCACUGCACUCCAGCCUGGGCAACAGAGCAAGACCCUGUCUCAA
Unclassified non-coding RNA from Macaca fascicularis (crab-eating macaque), 148 nucleotides. It matches the Rfam family "Metazoan signal recognition particle RNA". From Rfam's summary of the family: The signal recognition particle (SRP) is a universally conserved ribonucleoprotein. It is involved in the co-translational targeting of proteins to membranes. NCBI's taxonomy places the organism in Eukaryota, Metazoa, Chordata, Mammalia, Primates, Cercopithecidae. The record is from Ensembl.